Molecule: ribosomal RNA, 380 nt
Filed under: Rhizobiaceae bacterium
Lineage: Bacteria; Pseudomonadati; Pseudomonadota; Alphaproteobacteria; Hyphomicrobiales; Rhizobiaceae
Description: bacterial SSU rRNA
Rfam family: Bacterial small subunit ribosomal RNA
Source: RNAcentral
AGUGGCAGACGGGUGAGUAACGCGUGGGAAUCUACCGUGCCCUGCGGAAUAGCUCCGGGAAACUGGAAUUAAUACCGCAUACGCCCUACGGGGGAAAGAUUUAUCGGGGUAUGAUGAGCCCGCGUUGGAUUAGCUAGUUGGUGGGGUAAAGGCCUACCAAGGCGACGAUCCAUAGCUGGUCUGAGAGGAUGAUCAGCCACAUUGGGACUGAGACACGGCCCAAACUCCUACGGGAGGCAGCAGUGGGGAAUAUUGGACAAUGGGCGCAAGCCUGAUCCAGCCAUGCCGCGUGAGUGAUGAAGGCCUUAGGGUUGUAAAGCUCUUUCACCGGAGAAGAUAAUGACGGUAUCCGGAGAAGAAGCCCCGGCUAACUUCGUGCA